Long non-coding RNA from Thalassophryne amazonica, 154 nucleotides. RefSeq lists it as uncharacterized. The record is from RefSeq and is a predicted model, not a curated record. Lineage: Eukaryota; Metazoa; Chordata; Actinopteri; Batrachoidiformes; Batrachoididae. The transcript has 3 exons.
GGUCAACCCCGUCUCCUCACAGAGAUAAAAGUUUCUGUCCCCUCCUUGCACAGAGUUGCUCUCAGAAACUUCGUGGAUCACUCUUAAGCUAACAUUCCUUGCUAGGAAUCUUUAGGCUAAGUUGGGAACUCUCUGAGUCUGCUUGGGGAAUACG